AGCUCUAAUAGCGUAUAUUAAAGUUGUUGCAGUUAAAAAGCUCGUAGUUGGAUUUUUGCAUUAUUAAAUUAUAUCUAUCGUGAAGAUUUGUAUAUGAUUUAAUAUGUAUUUUUUUUAUAAAAUUUACUUAUUUUUCUUAAUUGAUUUAUAAGAUUUAAAUUUUAUUCAUUUACUGUGAGUAAAUUAGAGUGUUUAAAGCAAUCUCUUUGGAUUUUGAAUAUCAUUAGCAUGGGAUAAUAAAAUAAGAUUUUUAAUUUAUUUUUAUUGGUUUAUAAAUUAAAAAUAAUGAUUAAUAGGGAUAGUUGUGGGCAUUUGUAUUUAAUUGUCAGAGGUGAAAUUCUUGGAUUUAUGAAAGACAAACUACUGCGAAAGCAUUUGCCAAGGAUGUUUUCAUUAAUCA
Molecule: ribosomal RNA, 400 nt
Filed under: phytoplankton environmental sample
Lineage: Eukaryota
Description: partial small subunit ribosomal RNA
Rfam family: Eukaryotic small subunit ribosomal RNA
Source: RNAcentral